AUGCUCACUUCGGCAGCACAUUUACUAAAAUUGGAAAAAUAUAAAGAAGAUUAGCAAGACCCCUGCACAAGGAUGAUCUGCAAAUUUAUGAAACAUUCCAUGUUUUG
This is a small nuclear RNA of Gracilinanus agilis (Agile Gracile Mouse Opossum), 107 nucleotides long. The record is from RefSeq and is a predicted model, not a curated record. Lineage: Eukaryota; Metazoa; Chordata; Mammalia; Didelphimorphia; Didelphidae.